GAAAUGCGAUAAGUAAUGUGAAUUGCAGAAUUCCGUGAAUCAUCGAAUCUUUGAACGCACAUUGCGCCCUCUGGUAUUCCGGGGGGCAUGCCUGUCCGAGCGUCAUUGCGAACCCCUCAAGCACGGCUUGUGUGAUGGGCCCUCCCGCGUCUUGGUCGUCAAGACGGGCCCGAAAUGCAGUGGCGGCUUCGCGGUUAUCCGAUCAGCCAGAGCGUAUGGGGACUCUCUCUCUGUCACACGCCCGCGGCGCGGACCGACGCCUGUCGACCAUUAUUCAUCUUGUCUCGGUUGACCUCGGAUCAGGUAGGGAUACCCGCUGAACUUAAGC
Molecule: unclassified non-coding RNA, 328 nt
Filed under: plant metagenome
Description: partial contains 5.8S ribosomal RNA, internal transcribed spacer 2, and large subunit ribosomal RNA
Rfam family: 5.8S ribosomal RNA (bases 1-105)
Source: RNAcentral